UCAGAAUUCUUCUGCCCUGGUGCAGUGUCCCAAUCACUUCCAUGUCUCUGAUAAAUAUUUUAGUGUUCUGGACAGUUUCUCUCUUCAAAACUGACACUUCAUUAUACAACUUCUUAGAAUAACUGCUGCUGAUGGCUCACAGGAGCUUUUCAGUUCUAGGGAUCCUCAUCCUGACUGGAGUCUCAGUUGCAACCACAUUGCAGAGACCUGGUUGGCAUAACCAUAAGAAAACAUAAGCAUCCUCACUCCAUUUGCACAAUGUCCCAUUUAACAAUUCAUGGGAACAAGGAAUAUGGUUUAUAUGAAAAUAACACUUGAAACUAAUCAUGAAUUAUAUAUCCACAUAUUUUUUCAACCUAUCAGCCCACCUAGAAUCUUUUAUCUUAACAGAAAGGAACAAUAGUGUUUUCAAGAUGCAGUUGAGAAAUAGAAUAACAAAGGAUAUCCUGGUAGUACUGGAUACUAUCUUCCAGGAUAUCAUAUGCAUCCCAACUCAACAAAUGUUUUAUGCCUCAAAAACUUCAAGAAUGUAAUAUAUAUAGGCAUGGGAGCCAAAGGCUACAAGUAAAAGUGGUUCCACUCACUGUAACUCCCAGAAAACCAUUUGUAUUAUCUAUGCUUGCCUUUUUAUUACAAAAAAAGCAGCAGACAAAAGUUGAUUUACUAAUAUGCAUGAUUUCUCCUAGUCAUAAGGAUGAGGUGACACUGCUAUUAUAUGAUGGAAACAAAGUAUAUGAGUAGGACUCAGAUGACCUACCAAUGAAUCUCUUGUUGGUCCUAUGCCCAGUUUUACAGGGACAUGGAUAUUUCACUAGGCAUGGUUUGAGAAAGACAUAGUACCACGUGUUCCAGGACAUUCAGGGUGAAUUCUGGGAGACAUCCUCCAAGCAAAGUGCCCAAAUAAGCAAAGGUGCUAAUAGGAUCUUUGGGUUUUCGGAAAGGGAGCAAGCAGAUUUUAAUGAAUCUUUGAUAUGCCCUUGAGUUUAGUUGUAGCA
This is a long non-coding RNA of Marmota monax (woodchuck), 995 nucleotides long. RefSeq lists it as uncharacterized. NCBI's taxonomy places the organism in Eukaryota, Metazoa, Chordata, Mammalia, Rodentia, Sciuridae. The record is from RefSeq and is a predicted model, not a curated record. The transcript has 3 exons.